UGCAGGGUUUCAAUACAGGAUAAUCAUAUGCUUCAAUAGUCAAUUAUUCAUUACACAAUAGCGGGGACUAAAUUUGGAAUACGGAAAGCUAUAGCGUAAUGAGUUCUGAAAAUGUCUUCAAAAUAUUUUAAUAACUUUCUAAGAUCAAAUUAAAUAUUUUCAUAGUUUAUUGAAAUAACUUGCUGAAAUGGAAAAAAUGUUAAGUUAUAAUAAUACAAAGUAAAAAAAAAACCAAGGGUACCAUAAAUUGCUGCCACAUUUAUUUUCAAUAAAUCAAGAAAAAUCGAAAAUUUAGAUAUCGCACAACUGCUAACCUCUGUUCACAUUAACGUAAUUUUAGCACUUAACAAUUAAACACACAGUGGUUCGGAAUAAAAUCACAAUGCUUUAUGUAUAUAUAUUGUGAAUAAUUAUUCUUUUAAUUUUACACAUUUUGAACAUGCUCAAAUUCUACUUUCCUUUUCAAAAUGGUCACUGGAAUAGAAAACAAAACUGAUUGGUGUAAAAUUUGUUGUAUGUGUUUUUGUAAAUUUGUAUUAUAUCACACUGUCACAAGCUGUUUUGUCAUUUCUGACAAUGAAUAUAUAUAUUUUAAAUAUGAUUGAUUAAAACGAAAAGUGUAGAAAUUGUAAACCUUAUGCAACAUGUUUGAAAUAGACUAUUAAUUUUCGGCUGACUGAACACUGCAUUUAAUUUCCCCUGUCUGUGCACCUCUUUUUAAAGGUCAUGAUCUUUAGUUCUGGAAAUUAAGUCACUUGAGACACAAAGACAUUUUCAGUUUCUUUUACUCGUGGUUUGAAACACAACAGAAGAUCAAAAUCAGUGAAAAUGCCAGGAAUUCCACCUAUGGUGAUCGGAGGGAGCAUUAUAAGCGCUGUAUCGUUGAUUUUUCAUGUUAUAGGAUUUUCAACCACAUACUGGUAUAAGAUAGGUGAAGCUCAUAUGGGAUUAUGGAAAUCGUGUGGUCAAGUUAAAGGAGCUGAGAUAUGCUUUGACAUUAAAGAUGCACCAGUACAUUACAACCAACUCAUAGCCGCACAAGUUCUGGAAUGUCUUGCCCUGGUAGCCUUUUUAGCAGCUGUGACAUGUGCUUUCCUGAAGAUGUUUGCACUCAAGGAGCAAGGAAUGCUAUUUGUUGUCACAGGCUUACUUAACUGGCUGGCAGGAGGACUUGCCUUGGUCGGAGUAAUUGUCUUCGCAACAAUGUCAUUCGAUGGAUAUAAGUUGGAUAAUUCCAAAUAUUACUAUUCCUUUGGGCUAUGUAUUGUUGGUGGAAUCGGAGGAGUUUUCUCUGGGAUUGUAUUCUUCCUAGCAUGGCGAUGGGUGAGAAAUUAACGAAAACAGCUGGUUGGAAGAAUUAUCUGUUUAAACGUUCUUUCUAUGAAAUCAGUGAAAGAAGCUUUUAAACUCGAAACCUUUUGUAUUGACUUCUUUGUAACUUUAAUGACACUCGAAUUGUUGAUUCAUUUUGUCGAGCCUGCGACUUUUGUCGCAGAAAGCUCGACAUAGGGAUAGUGAUCCGGCGGCGGCGGCGUUAGCUAACUUCUUAAAAGCUUUAUAUUUUAGAAGGUGGAAGACCUGGAUGCUUCAUACUUUGUAUAUGGAUGCCUCAUGUUACGAAGUUUCCGUCAGUCACAUGUCCAAUGUCCUUGACCUCAUUUUCAUGGUUCAGUGACUACUUGAAAAAAAAGUUAAGAUUUUUUGUAAUGUUAAAUUCUCUCUUAUUAUAAGUAAUAGGAUAACUAUAUUUGGUAUGUGCGUACCUUGCAAGGUCCUCAUGCCCGUCAGACAGUUUUCACUUGACCUCGACCUCAUUUUAUGGAUCAGUGAACAAGGUUAAGUUUUGGUGGUCAAGUCCAUAUCUCAUAUACUAUAAGCAAUAGGUCUAGUAUAUUCGGUGUAUGGAAGGACUGUUAGGUGUACAUGUCCAACUGGCAGGUGUCAUCUGACCUUGACCUCAUUUUCAUGGUUCAGUGGUUAUAGUUAAGUUUUUGUGUUUUGGUCUGUUUUUCUUAUACUGUAUGCAAUAGGUCUACUAUAUUUGGUGUAUGGAAUGAUUGUAAGGUGUACAUGUCUAGCUGGCAGGUGUCAUCUGACCUUGACCUCAUUUUCAUUGUUCAAGUGGUUAUAGUUAAGUUUUUGUGUUUUGGUCUGUUUUUCUUAUACUGUAUGCAAUAGGUCUACUAUAUUUGGUGUAUGGAAUGAUUGUAAGGUGUACAUGUCUAGCUGGCAGGUGUCAUCUGACCUUGACCUCAUUUUCAUGGUUCAGUGGUCAAAGUUAAGUUUUUGAGUUUUGGUCUUUUUUCUAAUACUGUAUGCAAUAGUUCAACUAUAUUUGGUGUAUGGAAAUAUUUUAUGAUCUAUUUGUCAGUCACGCAGGUUUUAUUUGACCUUGACCUCAUUUUCAAGGUUCAUUGCUCAGUGUUAAGUUUUUGUGUUUUGGUCUUUUUUUCUUAAACUAUAAGCAAUAGGUCAACUAUAUUUGUUGUAUGGAAGAAUUGUUAGCUGUACAUGCCUGCCUAGCAUGGUUCAUCUGACCUUGACCUCAUUUUCAUGGUUCUUUGGUCAAUGUUUAGUUUACUUGGUUAAUAUUAAGUUUAUGUGACAGUUGUAAUAAAGCUUUAUAUUUAGGACUAUCAACAUAAUAUCAAUGAUUAGUAAAGAAGGCGAGACAUUUCAGCGUGUGCACUCUUGUACAUUGUAUAAAUACUUACUGUGCCUCUCAUUUAUGUAUAACUUUUUGUAAAGACCAGGAUAAGUCAAUUUUGAUAGUAACACAUAACGCAGAGAGUUUAUCUUUUCAUUUCAUGUACCUAGCUGCUACUGAAAAAUAUGAAACAAGUUUUUGAAAAUCUCUCUGAUUUGAGAGAUAUAGUUGUAGGAGUAACCUCACUUAAGUAAUGCAUUCUACACAAUUUAUACGAACACUAUAAGGGAACGAUUGGUCGCAUUUUCUUAGAAAAUGGAAAAUUAAAUUAAAAACACGUUCGCAUUUUAUGAUAAUAAUAUUAAUUUUUACGUAGUGUUUGUGUUAUACCGGUUUACCUCUGUCUGUCCUCAUGUAUACCCGUUUUUCCAUUCGUCUCACGAAACUCCUGAGCUUCAAUUUCCUGUUUACCGCCAUGCAUGAAAUGUUCGACUCACUCUUCUAGGGAACUACGAAUAUAAGAGCUUUCUAAAUGUGUUAUUAGGCUUCAUGUGAAUAUGCUUUACUGUGUAAUAAAUUUUCUAAUUGAUCGCUCAUCAGCUUCUUAUUUAGCAUUCUGAAAGCUGUGGUAUGAUAAAUAAGCAGUAGCAAACAUUUUUAACAGGAUUUUCAAAGGAAAUAUCGGUUAUUAAAAUGGUGAUGUACGGCGGGCGGCUAGGCGGACCUACGGGCGGCUGCCAAACAGUGUCAGCACAAUAACAUGAAAACGCUUUAACAAUUUUUUUUCAAUUUUAAAUAUGUUGUUUCCUUGGACUUAAUGAAGGUCUAGUUCAAUUUUCAAGAUACUAGUAUAUCUUCUUUGUGAGUUAUCGCCAUUUUUAAUAUCCAAAAGUGGAAUGUUUAAAUAUUUUGCUCUUGUUAUCUUUUUUAUGACUAAGCAUGAUGUCUUAUCUCAAAAUAAAAAUUGGAGUGACAGAUUUAUUUGAAAAUUAUCUAUUUCCUAAGUGGUAAUGAUUAUAAGCCAUAUUAUUAGACAUUUUGAAGUUAAUUACAUUAAUAAUUAUUAAUUAGAUCUGGGUUAUAUCUUAGCAUAUAAUAUCAUUGGAGUGACAGAUUUAUUUGAAAAUUUUCUGUUUUCUGAUAAGAUCUGUAGGACUGUAUAUAUAAAGUUUGAAAUUUACUAGUAGGACUGUAUAAAUGAAAUUUGAAAUUUACUGUUCAUUAUUAGACAUUUUGUAGAUAAUUUAGUCUCCCUAAACCAUAUAUAUUCUUACCCCCACCCCCUUUCAAUUUGAGUAUUUGCUUUUAUCUUUUAAACGGUUGAGAUCCCCACCCUAAACCAUAUAUAUUCUUGUAUGGGACAAUAACACAAAUCAAAUGAAAUAUUUGGGGAGUCCCCAGGUUCACCCCAACCCCCCUACUUUUUGAAAACUUGUAAACGGUCAAGAUCCCAACCGUGAAACCAUACAUAUUCUUGUAUGUAACAACAAAACAAAUCAAAUGAAAUAAAAGGCGAGUCCCCUGGGGUCACCCCCACCCCCUCCUGUUUGAGAACUUGUAAACGGUCGAGAUCCCCACCCCUAAUCCAUAUAUAUAUUCUUGUACGGGACAAUAACACAAAUCAAAUGAAAUAUAGGGGAAGUCCAUGGGGGUCACCCCCACCCCCUUCUUUUUGAAAACUUGUAAACGGUCAAGAUCCCCACCCCGAAACCAUAUAUAUUGUUGUAUGGGACAAUAAAACAAAUCUAAUGAAAUAAAAGACGAGUCCCCUGGGGUCACCCCACCCCAUCCUGUUUAAGAACUUGUAAACCGUCGAGAUCCCCACCCCUUAACCAUAUAUAUUCUUGAAUGGGACAAUACAACAAAUCAAAUGAUAUAUAGGGGAAAUCCAUGGGGUCACCCCCACCCCCUUCUUUUUGGUAACUUGUAAACAGUCGAGAUCCCCACCCCUAAACCAUAUAUAUUCUUGUAUGGGACAAUAACACAAAUCAAAUGAAAUAUAGGGGAAGUCCAUGGGGGUCACCCCCACCCUCUUUCUUUUUUAAAACUUGUAAACGGUCAAGAUCCACACCCUGAAACUAUAUAUAUUCUUGUAUGGGACAAUAAAACAAAUCAAAUAAAAAAUAAAAGGCGAGUCCCUUGGGGUCACCCCACCCCUCCUGUUUGAGAAAUUGUAAACGGUCGAAAUCCCCACCCCUUAACCAUAUAUAUUCUUGUAUGCAAUAAAAUAAAUCAAAUGAAAUACAGGGGAAGUCCAUGGGGUUCACCCCC
This is an RNA transcript of Mytilus californianus (California mussel), 4918 nucleotides long. RefSeq lists it as uncharacterized. The transcript has 4 exons. The record is from RefSeq and is a predicted model, not a curated record. Lineage: Eukaryota; Metazoa; Mollusca; Bivalvia; Mytilida; Mytilidae.